RNAcentral lists this ribosomal RNA (271 nucleotides) under uncultured archaeon. RNAcentral describes it as "partial 16S ribosomal RNA". It matches the Rfam family "Archaeal small subunit ribosomal RNA", at positions 477 to 747 of the family's 1478-position model. The record is from RNAcentral.
CAGCGCCACGAGUGGGAACCAUUUUUAUUGGGUCUAAAGCGUCCGUAGCCGGUUUAAUUAGUCUCUUGUGAAAUCAUUGAGCUAAACUCAAUGGCGUGCUUGAGAUACUGUUGAACUAGGAACUUGGAGGAGUCAGAAGAAUUUCUGGGGGAGCGGUAAAAUGCUAUAAUCCCAGAAGGACUACCUGUGGCGAAAGCGUCUGACUAGAAUAGAUUCGACGGUGAGGGACGAAAGCUAAGGGAGCAAGCCGGAUUAGAUACCCGAGUAGUCC